CGCUCGCUCCUCUCCUACUUGG
RNAcentral lists this non-coding RNA (22 nucleotides) under Mus musculus (house mouse). Lineage: Eukaryota; Metazoa; Chordata; Mammalia; Rodentia; Muridae. The record is from RNAcentral.